GCGGGAAGAAGCUCAAAUUUGAAAUCUGGUAGCCUUCGGUUGCCCGAGUUGUAAUCUAGAGAAGUGUUUUCCGUGCCGGCCCAUGUACAAGUCCCUUGGAACAGGGCGUCAUAGAGGGUGAGAAUCCCGUCCUUGACAUGGACCCCCGGUGCUUUGUGAUACACUUUCAACGAGUCGAGUUGUUUGGGAAUGCAGCUCAAAAUGGGUGGUGAAUUCCAUCUAAAGCUAAAUAUUGGCGAGAGACCGAUAGCGAACAAGUACCGUGAGGGAAAGAUGAAAAGCACUUUGGAAAGAGAGUUAAACAGUACGUGAAAUUGUUGAAAGGGAAACGAUUGAAGUCAGUCAUGCUCUUGGGACUUACCUCCCUUGAGUGGGGUCAACAUCAGUUUUGAUCGAUGGAUAAAGGCACGGGGAAGGUAGCACUCUCGGGUGAACUUAUAGCCUCGCGUCAUAUACAUUGAUUGGGACUGAGGAACGCAGCAUGCCUUAUGGCCGGGAUUCGUCCACGUACAUGCUUAGGAUGUUGACAUAAUGGCUUUAAACGACCCGUCUU
RNAcentral lists this ribosomal RNA (553 nucleotides) under Naganishia albida. Its description in RNAcentral is "partial large subunit ribosomal RNA". It matches the Rfam family "Eukaryotic large subunit ribosomal RNA", at positions 97 to 655 of the family's 3401-position model. The record is from RNAcentral. Lineage: Eukaryota; Fungi; Basidiomycota; Tremellomycetes; Filobasidiales; Filobasidiaceae.